CAAAAUGUAGCUUAAUUUAAAGCAUCUUGCUUACACCAAGAAAAUAUCUGUUAAACCCAGGUCGUUUUGA
This 70-nucleotide transfer RNA is filed under the name Scinax ranki. RNAcentral's name for it is "tRNA-Val". It matches the Rfam family "tRNA". Rfam says of the family: Transfer RNA (tRNA) molecules are approximately 80 nucleotides in length. Their secondary structure includes four short double-helical elements and three loops (D, anti-codon, and T loops). Lineage: Eukaryota; Metazoa; Chordata; Amphibia; Anura; Hylidae. The record is from RNAcentral.